UAAAGCACAUUGAUUUCCACAUGGUAUGUACGUGGUCGAUUGUCGCUAUUUAUUAUAAUACUCGCUCCACAUUACAUGUUAGAAAAUAACAGCAUUUUAUGUAGUAGUUUAUAUAAAAAAUAUUGCAAUUUAAAUUAGUUUCCGACCCGUUGAACUGGGACUUACUGGCUUCGUUGGAGUAAUAUUAAUACAGUACUCACAGUGAUUGACCAUAUGGGGGAUAUUUCCGAGAAAGACGAACGAAGUUUUUGAAUAAGGAGUAUUUCGGAGAAUAGUCGAACUAUAAUCAGAAUAAUUACUAAAGUGUAUUGUAGAGAGAAACUGAUGACUACUACUACUUAAGUACAGAGUAAAAUUGGCAGACGGUUUUAUUUGCUGUGUUGACGUUCUACUCAUUUUAACCACCAAGACGUGUGGUAUCAUUGUUACUGUACAUGUGUGAAGUCAAAAUGCAUCACUCACCAUGAACAUACCACUGGAUAUAAGUGUCGACAGCUGAGUUUGAUGACUGGAGUAGAAACAGGAAACAUUGUGAAAUUACAGCAAGCGGUCUGCUUGUCAACACAUAUUCACCCAAACCUCCAUUUAAUCCUCCAGAUAGUCUACAAAUGUUUAAGGGAGUUACAGACAGACUUCCUAUAUCAGGACUCGGAUGCUGGUAUUGGCAGACGAACGUAGAUUGUACGGUGCUGGAAGAAGCGAAAUCAAACUUUGUUGCAGUACAAGUUGGUGUCUGUGUAGAAGGGCAUUGCGAUGAUGAGAUACAGAUUGCGAAAAACAGACACGCGUGGUGUGUUUGUGUACACAGCUGUACCAUUCACAACAGUAUGUGUCUAGUGGUUGUAUCACGUGGAACGUAUAUGUGUCACUGUCCUGUAACAGUGUUUAAACCAAACACAAGUUUAAACGUCACACUGGGGUUACUUCUUGACAUAGAGAACUCCACCCUCCACGUGGUGAACAUCAACACCAAGUCACUGGUUCACUCCAUACCAAACAUCGACACAUCACAGCCACUGAUGCCCGUGUUUGGUGUGCACAGUCCUACACAAUUUCAGGUCAAAGUGAGAUUAUCGCCCGCCACGGAUCUGUCUGUGGAUCCAACCUUGCUGAUGGUACUCUCCAGUUUAGUUCAGCCGUGAUAAUCUACCUUAGUUAAUCAAUCCCUCAGCUUUACAAUUGAACUAAAUUUACUGGCACCGGUGGUAUCGUGGUUAAACCACCGGACUUAAGGCUGAUAGGUACAGGGUUCGCAGCCAGGUACCGCCUCCCACCCAGAGCGAGUUUUAACGACUCAAUGGGUAGGUGUAAGACAACUUUACCCUCUGAUCUCUCACUAGACACUAACAACUAACCCACUGUCCUGAACAAACAGCCCAGAUAGCUGAAGUGUGUGCCCAGGACAGCGUGUUUGACGUUUAAUUGGAUAUAAGCAGGGCAAUACGUUAAAAUGAAAAGAAGUAAAUUUUCCCAUAAUUAAAAUUAACGGAUUAUAUCCUGAAAAAAACAUAUGAAAAUCACUGGCAUUAUUAGCAUUUGUUGUACUUAAUGCUAUUACAACUGGCAUUUCUGAUUAGCAUUAGCAUUUGUUGUACUUAAUGUUAUUACAACUGGCAUUUCUGAUUAGCAUUAGCAUUUGUUGUACUUAAUGCUAUUACAACUGGCAUUUCUGAUUAGCAUUAGCAUUUGUUGUACUUAAUGUUAUUACAACUGGCAUUUCUGAUUAGCAUUAGCAUUUGCUGUACUUAUUACAAUUAACAUAUAUAUUAAACAUGGGUCAGUACAGUCUUCGGAAAUUAAAGUAUUUGUUUUUCUUGUAAAAAGAUAAUGUUAUGUCUGUAUAAAAUAUGUAUGUGUAAUACUAUUUUUAUAACUAGAGAAACACAACACGAAAUCGUCCUAAUGAAAACACUCGUGUUUCUGAUUAGUUAAUUGCAGAUUUGUUUUGACGAUUAUAUAAAGGUUAAAGAUAGCAGACGUCACAGCAGGCGUGGAUCUGCAGAGAAGAUAGCGGAAGUCAGAAAGCUUGCCGCCAUCUUUGUUUAUUUUGGUGUUAUUUUUCUUUUUUAGGGUGGGUUUUUCCAUGAUGGGAUUGCUCAACAUACAUUCGUCUGGAUUAUCUUUGUUUUAUACUUUUGUGUUCUUCUAUGUUUGAUGUAACAGUUAAUAAUGAUGAUUAUGAUUAGGAUGAUGGUGAUAAUGAUGUUGUUGAUGAUGAUGAUGAUGAUGAUGAUAAUGAUGACGAUGGUAAAUAAUGAAUGAAUCAAUGUUGACAUA
This 2277-nucleotide unclassified non-coding RNA is filed under the name Gigantopelta aegis. RNAcentral describes it as "uncharacterized LOC121378047, transcript variant X3". The record is from RNAcentral. Lineage: Eukaryota; Metazoa; Mollusca; Gastropoda; Neomphalida; Peltospiridae.